Molecule: long non-coding RNA, 283 nt
Filed under: Capsicum annuum
Lineage: Eukaryota; Viridiplantae; Streptophyta; Magnoliopsida; Solanales; Solanaceae
Description: long non-coding RNA (CANN_LNC009175)
Source: RNAcentral
UUUCAACACUAUUCCAUAUACUAUUGCUGUUGGAUUGACAUGAGGUGCCAUCAUGGAUCCCUACAUUAACGAAGAAACAUUGAUAAAACAUGUAAGCAGGAAACGAAACAUACAUGUUGCUAUAUAUACCUGGAGCAUGAUAAGUUAUUAAUUAUGAUUUGUUUACAUGCAAGGGAUUUGAAUCAAUGCGUGCAAAUGAUCAUUACCUGAGACAGACUGAGAAGAUAAACACCAUUGCCGGAUUGUCCUAGAGAAGAAUAAUCCGACUCAUCCAACUUCUUGC